UCCUCACAAUCACUGUUAUGCUUGAGCCCAUUGUCGCAGCUACUGAUCUCGUUGAGGGUCUUCCUCGUUUUCGUUCACCCUCCACUUUACCAAGCAUGAUGUCCUUCUCCAGGCGCUGAUCCCUCCCGACAACAUGUCCAAAGUAUUUCAGCUGUAGUCUCGCCAUUCUUGCUUCCCAGGAGCAUUCUGUUUGUAGUUCUUCCAAGACAGAUUUGUUCGUUGUUUUGGCAGUCCGUGGUAUAUUCAAUAUUCUUCACCAACACCUCAAUUCAAAGACGUCAAUUCUUCUUCGGUCUCCUUAUUCAUUGUCAAGCUUUUGCAUGCAUAUGAGGGCACUGAAAACACCAUGGCUUGGGUCAGGCACACCUUAGUCUUCAAACUUGAAAAGCUUGCUUUUCAACACUUUAAAGAGGUCUUUUGCAGCAGAUUUGCCUGAUGCAAUGCAUAUAAGGGUAUAAUGUAUAAUGGUAGUGCUAAUUUGGAGUCUCUGGGCCGUGCAAGCAGUCAACGUGGUUGGCUGCUAACCGAAGGGUUAGCAGUUCGAGUCCACCCAGAGGUCCCUCGGAAGAAAGGCCUAGCAAUCUACUUCUGGAAAAUCAACACUGAAAACCCUACAGAGCACAGCUCUACUCUGACACACAUGCAGAAUCACCAAGAUUCGGAACAGACUUGACGGCAGCUGGUACUGAGAGUGCUCCUUUACCACUUCGUAGAAAGUCAUUGGUGUGCGCGCUGUGCUUUUGGCUGUCGUGCUUUUACAGAGAGAUGCUCGGAGAUCCAGGAUGGAGGAGCAGAUCCAGGGUGCCUCGGCCUGGGUGGCACUUCCUCUUAGAGUCCUGGGCCAGCCGUUUCACUGCUGUCACUUUACAGAAGGAAAUGCCGUCUGGCACGUGCUGUCCUUGCGUUCUCACAGUUCUUACAGUUGUUGCUGGUGAGUUUCAAAACCAAACCUCUUUGAACCUUCAGGAUAUUUCCAAGCCUGUAAAGCACUCCUCUAAGAAAUUCAUGGAAAGCAACAAGCCUCCUGCUUGCCAGAAGUUGUUGGAGAAUGAGAAGAAAUACAGUCAACCCAGAGGAUAUUGAAUUUGUUGAUGGUUCACCUUUAAAAUCAAGAAGUUAUGUUGAAGUAUAUUUGGGGCAGCCAGUGGAGGUGUUUGACAAACUUUCGGUUGAAAUGGACUCCGGGGAAAUUGUACAGAAAGCAGCACUGAGAGGAUGGAAGUGAUGGAGCAAAGACUAGAACACUGUUAACAAAUACUCAAUCGACUACCCUCGCUAGGACGUUGGGGAAGGAGUGGAAAAAAAUUGCCAUUGCCCACCUGGACUUGGAGAUGAGUGAUAUUGAUUAUAACCAGGAGAAGGAGGAAGACGUUCCACUCGGUUUCUUACAGGAAACGUGACCUUUGUAAGUUGCACUGAGAAAAGAAGACUCAGAAACUUUGACUUGAAAAAGAUGGUUUCAACCUGCAGCUGGUUAGAGGCUUGAUUAGACCUGAGACCUCCCCAGCCCGUAGGGGCAGCUUCUUUCCUUUUCAGCCACUCUGCAGCUCAUAUUACACAGGGGCAAAGGAAGGGUAAAAUAUUUGGAAAAUUUUAGGAGGAAAAACCUCUAGAAUAUCAAGAUUUUCCUUUUUGCACCUCCAUUUUUUUUUUUGUAAAUUGUUCUAAAAAAUUAAAAGUAUAAUUUCGGAGGUGCUUUGUAGACAAACUGGUUUCAUAAUGAUUUUCAGCUUUUUCCAAACUACAGAUGAAUGGAAGAAAAAUAAAUCUGCAGUUGUACAGGGCUAACCUGCCUUCAUUGUGUUACUGUCUGUAAAGAUUACCGCCAAGAAAACCCUACGGGGCAGUUCUACUCUGUCAAAUGGAGUCUCCAUGGGCCUGAAUCAACUGGAAGGCACCCAACAGCAACAAUGUACCUUCAUUAUAUUAUUAUUUACUUAUAAAAUAGUUCUUAUAAAGUAUCCUAUUCCUUGAUUAUUAUUAUUUUGGCUGUUUUGGGAAUUAGGUGGUUUUGAUCCCAGGUCUCUGGGUCUUGGAUUGAGGCCAGGUGAGUAGUGUAAACCAGAGUCAAUUAGUUCUUCCCGGUGUUCGCACGAGUUCAGGAGAAUCUACACACCCCCCUAAACUAACCCUUUUCCUACAGGAAGACUUAGGGUUUCCUCCCCUCCGUGAUGGGAGAGUGUGCUUUUACUUAAAACCAUGUGGACUCAUAUUAGUUCCUCAACUGUGGGUCUCUCACAGAUUUUUUUUUUUUUUUAACAUCAUGGGGCUCGUUUAUUUAUUUUAUUUUUUGUAUACCUUUAAGGGAAAAGCUUCUUCUCCUGUUAUUUCAUAUGGAGGCACGUUUUUCACUCCCCUCUCUACAGAGGCCACUGACCAUUUUUGAUGAUUUUUAAAUGUGUUCUCGUGAGGAUGGUGGUUUUCAGCAGUCGGCCUGGUCUGUUCCCCUUGCUGGAAAUCCUUAUUGGGGUGAAGCGCCACACUGCGUGCUGAAGGGCCUGACCCCAGCCGGGUAGCCAGGGAUUUACUGCUGGAGGUGUGUUUCCAGUUUCCCUGGCUACACACCGCAGCUUCAGUUCUGUUGGGGGUCUGCAGUGGCUGACACUAGAUAGAGGCCCUGGGGUUGGGUUCUGGGUGGGAGUCCUGCGGUUCUUCCUGCUUCUGUGCUGGGGCCCCCAGUUCAAGCCUGGAGCCCGCCAGUGGAUUUAGAUCUAACGUGUCCCAGUCAUGAUGUGAACCAUUAGUAAGAAAGCCUCAAGUUACUCUGCUGUCUUUAUUCUGCAGGAGUCCAGCCUUGCUCUUUGCUGCAAUCUGUGACGUGAGUUUCAUUUUUAAAAGUGGGUAUGCUCUACACAUUUAUGUUGUUGCCAUCAAAUUGAUUUUGACUCAUGGUGUUCCCAUGUGUGCAGGGUAGAACGGCUCCAUGGGCUUUCAAGGCCAUGACCUUUCUGUAGCAGAUCACCAGGCCUAUCUUCCAAGGUGCCUCGGUGCGUUCGAGUCACCAACCCCAACCUUUCUGUUAGUAACUGAACAUUUAAGCAAGUCUGAAAAUCUAAAAGAUGAUUUUUUUACUUAUAAACUGUAGGGAGGGGCUUGAACUAGAUCACUGGAGUUUGAACUUUUCCUUAGCCAUGGAAGCCAUUUGUCAAAGGGGAUCUGACCCGGAACCCACACUGGGAAACGCUGAAAGGCAGAGCUGCUCUGGCUGGGGAGGGUUGUGGAGGGGAGAGAAGGGAGCCCAGAGCCUUGCUGGUCCCUAACUGCUCCUGUCAGGGGUAGCGGAAACCAGGGGUGGGAUGAUGAGGCCUCCGAGUUCGUUUCUAAGGUAUCUGGAGUUUGCCAGCCUGCUAUGCUGUUUUGUUCAUUUGGCAUGUCGUUUCUGAAGGAUAAUAACUAUAUAAUUCAAAACCAUAUAAUUAAAUUAUUUAAAACUAAUCAGCAAGCUUAUGAAUUCUGGUUCCCCCUCCCCAUUACCAAAACAAACAAACAAAAAUACCCAUUGUUGUUGAGUCGAUUCCUACUCAUAGCAACCCUGUAGGACAGCGUAGGCCUGCCCCACGGGGUUUGCAAGGCUGUAAUCUUUACGGGAAGAUUACUAUGAAUCCAUGUCCCUUCCCAGUGGAACAAGCAUGUAUAAUUAUUUUGAACCAGACAAGCAUGAGCAUUUUAACAUUUUUAACUUUUUUCUUGUAAUUUGGAUUAUUUUUUUCUUUUUAAAAGCUAAAGCCUUUCUUGUUUAUUCCUGAAUUAGAAAAGAAAGACAUAAGAAGCAUGUGGGGGCCCUGAAGGUUUUUCUUUCUUUCUCUCUCCCUUUGCCGUUUUUUUGAGUGUCUGGGGUGGGGAACACAUAUGGAAGUAGUAUGGCACUCCCUGUACUUGGGGUUCUCACAGAGCAGUGAGGCAGGCAGGACACACGUAAAAAAUUGCACGGAUGUUUGUACAGUUAUGGUGAAGUGUUCCUUUGUCUUGUUGUUAGCCACCAUGGCGUUGACCCCUGGCUCAUGGUGUGACCCCGUGUGUUACAGAGUAGAACCCUCCAUAGGAUUUUCUUGGCUGUAAUCUUUAGAAGCAGAUUUCCAGGCCUUUGUACGGGUGGGUGGGUUUGAAAUCCCAGCCUUUAGGUGAGCAGCUGAUCCCAAACCGCUUGCACCACCCAGGCUCCUUCCCCUUUGUCUUGGUGUAGCCUUAACACGAGGGAGCGACAGCAGAGGCUAGUGGCUGUGCGCACAGGCUGGAACCAGGCUGCCGGGGCUCAGGUGGUGACAUCUGCUGCUUACUCUUCGGGUGAGCAUGGGUCUUCUGCCUCGGUUUCCUGAGCUAUAAAAACGGCACGAUAAGAGUCCCUCUUCAUAGGGUUAAGGAGCCCUGGUGGCGCAGUGGUUAAGUGCUCAUCUGCGAACCAAAGUUGGAGGUUUGAACACACCAGUUGCCCCACAGUAAGAUGUGGAUUAUUGGAAGUUUAUGAGUUUGUGGUGAACACCUGGAACUGCCUGGCACAGUGCUAACUUCUAUUACUUCUGAAGUUACAUGGACCUGGUUUCUGUUAUUAUAUUGAUGUCAUAACUUAUAUUCUCUUGUAUUUUUAAUAUCAUAUUCAGACACGUAAAUGUAACAAAGUGUUUGUACUUGUACCUAUCAAAUACAUUUCAACCAAUUUAUUGGUACAUAGGGAAUUAAAGGUUUUUAUUAUGAAAUGUUUCAGACACACACAAUUUAGUUUUGGAAAAAUGUGGCUGAAUUUUAUCUUAUUUACAAUAUUGCAGUGCACUUUGCUUUAAACUUGGAAACUCUGGUGGAGCAGUGGUUCAGAGCUACUGCUGUUAAUCAAAAGGUCGGCAGCUCAAAUCCACCACGUGCGCCUUGGAAACCCUAUGGGGCAGUUCUACUCUGUCUGAUAGGGUCGCUAUGAGUCAAAACCUACUCGAUGGCAAUAGGUUUAGAUUUUUUUUUUUUUGCUUUAAACUAGGAAGCCAAAAUUAUAGCUGGAAUCAGAUGCUUGGCCUGCAAACAAGGUCAACAACCAUUUGGCCCAGAAUGACAGGGCAAAGGGGGCUGUGAUGGCGUCCAUGCUGGCCUCAGACAAAACUGAUUUUCUUCCAAUUUUGUCCCUGUGUUUUCUUCCUUCCUUAGAGCAUCUAGGCCGUUUUGCAUCUCGUGAGUUGUCCAACACCCACCUUUGAAUGUUGGUCCCGACCCCUUCCCAGAACUGUCCCUCAAAGCUCUGGGCCCUCGUUGGAGUGUUUUCACGUUAAUUCUCUCCUUGUCAUUCUCAGGUGUGAGAAACACUUGGUGUUUUUCUUUUUAGCUCGUCCAUCAGAUGAAUCUCUAAUAGGUUAUAUACUGGGGGGCUUCUGGGGGAACUCAGUCCUGCUAUGCCACUUUGCUCCCCACCCUGUCUUUUUUGCUGUCAUAUCUAUACCAGCCAGCCUCCUCUGCUGAACCCCCACAACAUGCCAAGUGCUGUGGAGGGUGUCUUUGCAAACCAUGUACGAACUGUAAAAUUUAAUGCUGAGCGUUGGCUGGGGCCAGCACAGCACUGGGUGACGUAAUCCUCACCAUAACACCGUGAAGUAGGCUCUACAGUUUUCUGAAUUCCGUAGAUAAGAAAAUAGUAGCAUAGAGGGUGUAACCAAUUUGCCUGGUCACCAAGCCCAAAAAGUAAUAAUAAAUUUUCAAAAAUUGUUAACAUUUAUUGUGUACGUCCUAUGUGCCAGGCCUUGGGCUACUGCCUAUGUAUUGCUUCAUUUAACCCUCAUUCUGAUCCUUUGGGAGUCCCUGGUGGCAAAAAUGGUUAGGCGCUGGACUGCUAGCUGAAAGGUUGGUGGUUCGAACCCACCCAGAGGCUCCUCAGAAGACAGGCCUGAUGAUCUGCUUCCAAAAGGUCACAACCUUGAACACCCUAUGGAGCAGUUCUACUCUGCACAGGAGUUGACAUCUAUUAGAUGGCAACUAUCAGCAAUGACAACGGAUCCUUUGAGGUAGGCUUUAGUAUUAUCUCCACAUCUCAACAAAAAGAAAACAAAAAUCCUCGCAACUGGACUAAUAAGCAACAUCAAGAUAAACUGAGAAAAGACUGAAGUUGUCAAGGAUUUCAUUUUACUUGGAUUCACAAUGAACACCCAUGGAAGCAGCAGUCAAGAAAUCAAAAGACGCAUUGCAUUGGGCAAACUGGCUGUGAAAGAUUUUGAAGUGUUGUAAAGCAAAGAAGACUAAGAUGACACCCAAGCCAUGGUAUUUUCUAUUGCUUCAUAUGCUUGUGAAAGCUGGACAAUGAAUAAGGAAGAUGGAAGAAGAACUGACGUCUUUGAAUUGUGGUGUUGACAAAGAAUAUUGAAUGUGCCACGGACUGCCAAAAGAACGAACAACUCUGUCCUGGAAGAAGUAGAGUCAGAAUGUUCCUUAAGAGGGAAAGAUGGUGAGACUUCAUUCCACAUACUCAGGACUUGUUAUCAGGAGAGAUCAAUCCCUGGAGAGGGACAUUAUGCUUGGUAAAGUAGAGUGUCAUCGAAAAAGAGGAAGACCUUCAACAAGGUGGACUGACACAGUGGCUGCAGCCAUGGUCUCAAGCAUGGUCCAGUUGUGAGGAUUUUUGUGGUUUUUAUGUUGAGGUGUAAUCCAUACUGAAGGCUGUGGUCUUUCAUCUUCAUCAGUAAGUGCUUCAAGUUCUCUUCACUUUCAGCAAGCAAGGUUAUGCCGUCUGCAUAUGGCAGGUUGCUAUUGAGUCUUCCUCCAAACCUGAUACCCCAUUCUUCUUCAUAUAGUCCAGCUUCUCAGAUUAUUUUUUGGCAUUUCUAGAAUAGAAGUAUCAUGGAUUUGUGUCCCCCCAAAUACAUGUUGGAGUCUAACCUCUAUACCUGUGGAUGUAAUCCCAUUUGGGAAUAGGGUUUUCUUUGUUGUGUUAAUGAAGCCAUAUCACUGUAGGGUGUAUCUUAAACCUUAUCACUUUUGAGAUGUAAAGAGAGCAGAUUAGGCACAGAGCCAAACAAGCAGACACAGGGGGAGACAGGUACUAUCCGAAGACGACAGAGGCCGAUGUAGCUACCAGUCCAGGAACUCUUUAGCUGUGUGUCACAUGGGGUGAGAACCUGAAAAAUGAAUGCUUGUCACAUGACCCUUUGAUUUGAUAAGAAAAUUAUGAGGACCUGGGGUGGUCACACACAUUCACCUUUGAAACAUACCCUCAUUCUUCACAGGUGUAAGAAUUGGGAUUCCAUGGGGAGGAUAAACAUAAGGAAAGAGGAUCGCUGAAUACCUCGUUUUCUAUAGCCUUCUCAUAUUAAGGAAGUAUAUGGUUAUCAAAGUAUUAAAAUUACAUGAUAUUCUGUUGGGUAAAUCUUUUUAAAAUUCACAUGGCUUGGAGAAUAAAAAAGAUCGAAUUUAAUAUUUAGGUCAUUACAAGCACAUUGCUGGAGCAAAGGGAAUUACCCACGUGGUUCAGGCAGAAGCUCUGUAGAAUUUUAAGCAAAUGGAGUUUUUCUGGUUGCAAUUUAGAAGCAACUUCCUCCUGAGAGCCCAAAGGGUCACAAAAAUUAGAAUAAAUUAGCUAGACAGCCUUUUAAUGGUAUUUUUUCCACUUGAAGAAUAUUAUCCCUUUCAUGAGUGCUGGCACAUGUUCCAGCUACAUUUUCCGUCCCCGGAGGUUAAGGAGCCAUGGUGGUGCAGUGGUUAAGGCGCUUGACUGCUAACCGAAAGGUGGGCGGUUGGAAACCACCGGCAGCUCCUCGGGAGAAAGACGUGGCAGUCUGUUCCUGUAGUGAUUUACCGUCGUGGAAACCCUAUGGAGUUGCUAUGAGUCAGAACCCACUCAGUGGCAGUGGGUUUGGGUUUUUUUGGUUGGGGGUUUAUUGGCAGGCUUUGAGCAUCUCUAGUGUGUUCUGGCGUCAUGGUGGAUACUGGUGUAACUGCCUAAAGAACAAGGAAGUUGGUCUGCGCACAUUUGAGUGUUGAGAGCCAGUCGUAUGAGGGGAUGCUUCCCGGAGGAGUGAUUGUGUGAAACUUCCGUGUCUUUUGGCUUCUGUACAGCAAGAUAAGGCUUGCAAGUAUAUUUACUAUUUCCUUUGUGUUAUUGGGAAUGUACGGUUACCGGCAUUUGGAAAUAUUCAAGUAAAUGAGUUAUUUUGGGAUGAAGAUAAUUUGUGAUGCACUUCCUGGGCCCUGCACCCUGUGUGGGCUGUGCUUCAUGUAACACUGACAUGGCCGGCUUGCGUUUGUCACCUCCCUGAUGGCGUCUUUAUAAAGUGCUCACUGGAAAGCUGGGUAAGAGAUUUUAUGGCUCAAGUGUAAGCAGGAAGCGGGAUGCACUUCCUGGGCCAUGGGGCCUUUGUGAUGUACUUCGUGGAACAAGGUACCCAUAUGGACUGCUUGUAAUUGGCACCCUAUUUUUUCAAAUAACGAAAAUACUAUCAGCACACAAUGAUCCAGCAGUCAUUGCAUUAGUGAAUAAACAUGGCAUCACCAAAAACUUGCAAAAAAAAUAAUUUAUCCAUGAAAAGGUUAUUAUGUAUUUGUUUAAUGCACAGUGUGUUAUGGGGUUAUGAUUAUUAGAAAAAACAUUUUUAUACUUUUUACUUUUGACUCAGAUCUUGAACAAAAAUGAUAUAAACUCUCAAAAACUGUAACUCACUUGAUUGCCUCAGGAUUGAAGCAUACCUAGGCUCCCUUCAAAAUGCUAGACUAAAGGACAAGGAAACACAUGAGAACACUGAAGCAUCCUUUCCAAGGUAAUUUUAUUCAAAUUUCAUUAAAGUUUACAGUUUCCCCCAUGUGUAUUUUAACACAAAUAAUUUCAGUUACAUUAGAAAAUAUGAGAAUUACUUCAAUUCUGUUUUAUUUUUAGAAUAACAUUUAUAAGGUAUUUUUAAAAUUCAUUUGAUAAUAAAUAUUUAAAUAAAUACAACAUAAAUAAAUAUCAGUUCACAUGAUUUCAUGAACAUAAAAUUAUAUAAAUAAAUAUUUUAAAAUAAAUUAUGCUUGCGUGUCUGUUUCUACAAACACGUUGGCACAGAAAUAGCUUAUAAAUGCCUGUUCUUCUUGAAGGGAAAGAAAAACACAUCCAGUGAGGAGGGCGUUUUCCCUUCUCGGCAAUUUGCUUAUGAAAACUUAAAAACAACUUAUGGAUAGUAAAGGUGAAAUAUACUUGCUCAAAGGAAUCACAUGGAUCUAAGAGUCGCACCCUUCAAAUUCUGGGUGGCGACUACUGUAAACAGAAGCAGGAGAAUUACGGUGCCAGCUUAAGUAGGAUCAGGUCAAACCGCCCCCUCCCCAGCCC
Loxodonta africana (African savanna elephant) is the source of this 9268-nucleotide long non-coding RNA. RefSeq lists it as uncharacterized. The transcript has 4 exons. Lineage: Eukaryota; Metazoa; Chordata; Mammalia; Proboscidea; Elephantidae. The record is from RefSeq and is a predicted model, not a curated record.